The submitters of this non-coding RNA (52 nucleotides) gave its source as unclassified sequences. The record is from Rfam.
UGAUGUGAUUGUAGAGCGCAAUCACGUAAAUCAAAAGAAAGCUCAAUCGAUG